Molecule: long non-coding RNA, 337 nt
Organism: Rhincodon typus (whale shark)
Lineage: Eukaryota; Metazoa; Chordata; Chondrichthyes; Orectolobiformes; Rhincodontidae
Exons: 3
Source: RefSeq, a predicted model, not a curated record
CUUCACUCCAGCAGCCAGGAACUCAAUCUUUUAGCUCAGCAGCCAGUAGGAAGCCUUCCUCUAACUGAAGGCAAAACUAAAAACCAUCCUGUGUCUGUGUGAGAUAACACAGUGUGGAGCUGGAGGAACACAGCAGAUCUGAAUGAAGAGAUUGACAACAGUGACACAACAGCUGGUCAAUUGGCACCUGCCAUAGUAUCAUGGAGUUACAGGUCCCAUGGUGGUAUCUGGGAAAGAGCAAAGGUCUUGUCUGAGCGUUUCCCUCAACCUUUUCUUGACAGCGGUGAGGCAGUGGAGGAGUAUAGGUGCCGUGGAUGGUGAGCUGGCUCAGGAUUGG